CUCUCACACCGUGCUGGGCACUGCUGAGUCCUGGAGCAGUUUCAGCCACUGUUCUGAUAGCCUAUCACAGCUGUCAAAUAGCUCGGUCAUUUCUCACGGCUAUCAGGGUUCCUGUUAUAUCUGGCUCAGUCGCUAAUUUGUAAAGUCUAAUCUGUUUGGUUCCUGCGUUAGAAACGAAGCAAAGUGGAACUUGUGCAAGACGCACAGAGAGAAACGGGAAAAAAGAAAAUCAAGCCAGGAACAACACAAGGGUGGAAAUGUUGAGAAAACACAACAGCAUUCCAGAGCACAAUCUGGGUAUAGGUAGGACAUUCUACCGCCACAAUGAUGUUCAAGCUGGUAAUGUCCAAGGGCUUAUGAACUUGAAGUUUUGCAAGUGUU
RNAcentral lists this long non-coding RNA (381 nucleotides) under Mus spicilegus (steppe mouse). RNAcentral's name for it is "lncRNA (ENSMSIG00000019100.1)". The record is from RNAcentral. Lineage: Eukaryota; Metazoa; Chordata; Mammalia; Rodentia; Muridae.